Molecule: ribosomal RNA, 207 nt
Filed under: uncultured bacterium
Lineage: Bacteria
Description: partial 16S ribosomal RNA
Rfam family: Bacterial small subunit ribosomal RNA
Source: RNAcentral
UGCGUAGGCGGUUUUGUGUGUCAGAUGUGAAAGCCCAUGGCUCAACCAUGGAAUUGCAUUUGAAACUGCAAAACUCGAGCAUCGGAGAGGUAGAUGGAAUUCUAGGUGUAGCGGUGAAAUGCGUAGAUAUCUAGAAGAACACCAGCGGCGAAAGCGAUCUACUGGACGAAUACUGACGCUGAGGCACGAAAGCCAGGGGAGCGAAGA